RNAcentral lists this ribosomal RNA (433 nucleotides) under uncultured bacterium. RNAcentral describes it as "partial 16S ribosomal RNA". It matches the Rfam family "Bacterial small subunit ribosomal RNA", at positions 29 to 507 of the family's 1533-position model. The record is from RNAcentral.
AACGAACGCUGGCGGCAUGCCUAACACAUGCAAGUCGAACGAAAACUCCCGGUCUAGUGGCGCACGGGUUCGUAACGCGUGGGAACCUGCCCUCAGGGUUGGUAUAACUUCCCGAAAGGGGUGCUAAUACCGGACAAUGUCUUCGACCCAAAGUUUUUUCGCCUUUGGAUGGCCUCGCGUUGGAUUUACUAGUUGGUAGGGAAAAAGCAUACCAAGCCGAGGAUCGAUGGAUGGUCUGAGAGGAUGAUCAGCCACACUGGGACUGAGACACGGCCCAGCCUCCAACAUGCGGCAGCGGGGGGGAAUAAUAGACAAGGGGCGAAGGGCUGAACCAACACUGCCGCGUGAGAGAUGAAGUCCUUAAGGUUGUAAAGCUCAUUUAUCCGGGAUGAUAAUGACAGUACCGGGAUAAUAAGCUCCGGCUAACUCCGUG